AUACCCUAUUAUAUUUAAAUAACAUUAGGUAGUAAUAAAUUUUAAUUUAAACCUAUGUAUUUUGGCGGCAUUCAAUCUAUUUAGAGGAACCUGUCUUUUAAUCGAUACCCCACGAUAAUUCUUACUUUUUAUUAAAUCUUAUAUACCUCCAUCCAAAGGACUAAUUUAAACAUUUUAUUCUAAAAAAAUUUUUAAUAAGUUAGGUAAAGGUGUAGAACAUAAAAAAGAUAAGAUGGGUUACUAUAAACUUUAUUUAAGGAUACUUGAUCAAAAUUAAUAUUGAAAAAGGAUUUAUAAGUAUUUGAAAAAUAAUAUUUUCCACUGAAAUAGUUAAAAAUGUGC
RNAcentral lists this ribosomal RNA (342 nucleotides) under Gasteracantha cancriformis. Its description in RNAcentral is "partial 12S ribosomal RNA". Lineage: Eukaryota; Metazoa; Arthropoda; Arachnida; Araneae; Araneidae. The record is from RNAcentral.